This 494-nucleotide ribosomal RNA is filed under the name uncultured bacterium. RNAcentral describes it as "partial 16S ribosomal RNA". It matches the Rfam family "Bacterial small subunit ribosomal RNA", at positions 28 to 507 of the family's 1533-position model. The record is from RNAcentral.
GAUGAACGCUGGCGGCGUGCCUAAUACAUGCAAGUCGAACGCUGAAGGAGGAGCUUGCUCUUCUGGAUGAGUUGCGAACGGGUGAGUAACGCGUAGGUAACCUGCCUGGUAGCGGGGGAUAACUAUGGAAACGAUAGCUAAUACCGCAUGACAACAGUUAUUGCAUGAUAACUGUUUAAAAGGGGCAACUGCUCCACUACCAGAUGGACCUGCGUUGUAUUAGCUAGUUGGUGAGGUAACGGCUCACCAAGGCGACGAUACAUAGCCGACCUGAGAGGGUGAUUGGCCACACUGGGACUGAGACACGGCCCAGACUCCUACGGGAGGCAGCAGUAGGGAAUCUUCGGCAAUGGACGGAAGUCUGACCGAGCAACGCCGCGUGAGUGAAGAAGGGUUUCGGAUCGUAAAGCUCUGUUGUAAGAGAAGAACGAGUGUGAGAGUGGAAAGUUCACACUGUGACGGUAUCUUACCAGAAAGGGACGGCUAACUACGUG